UAGUCCUAGCCUUAAAAUNAGUUUUUACUUAAUUUACACAUGCAAGUCUCAGCACCCCUGUGAGAACGCCCCUAACCCCUAUCAGGAACAAGGAGCUGGUAUCAGGCACAAUUUUUAGCCCAAGACACCUAGUUUAGCCACACCCACAAGGGAACCCAGCAGUGAUUAACAUUGAGCAUAAGCGACAGCUUGACUCAGUCAAAGUAAGCAAGGGCCGGCAAAUCCCGUGCCAGCCGCCGCGGUUAUACCAUGAGGCCCAAAUUGAUUUCUUCGGCGUAAAGCGUGAUUAAAGUUAUUAACACAAUUAUAGUUACACCAGAACUAAGCCGUAAUAAACUUGUACCUGUGAAAGUCAUAAACGAAAGUUACUAUAUACCCCCACUUGAACCCACGACAGCUGGGAAACAAACUAGGAUCAGAUACCCUACUAUGCCCAGCCGUAAACUUUUAUUUACACCCCCAUCGCCCGGGAACUACGAGCCAAGCUUAAAACUCAAAGGACUUGACGGUACCCCACAUCCACCUAGAGGAGCCUGUCCUAUAAUCGAUAACCCCCGUUAAACCUCACCAUUUUUAGCAUAACAGCCUAUAUACCUCCGUCGCCAGCCUACCUCAUGAGUGACUUUUAGUAAGCUUAAUGUCCCUAAGUCAGAACGUCAGGUCAAGGUGCAGUAAAUGAAAUGGGAAGAGAUGGGCUACACUCUCUAAUAUAGAACACACGAAAGACUAUGUAUGAAAUUUAGUCAGAAGGCGGAUUUAGAAGUAAAAGGGGAUCAUAAAGCCCCUUUUAACGCGGCCCUGGGGUGUGUACACACCGCCCGUCACCCUCUUCAAAAACCAAAAACCAGUACUUAACAUCAAUUCAGCAAAUCAGAAGAGGCAAGUCGUAACAUGGUAAGUGUACCGGAAGGUGCACUUGGAAA
RNAcentral lists this non-coding RNA (923 nucleotides) under Duellmanohyla rufioculis. Its description in RNAcentral is "partial 12S ribosomal RNA". It matches the Rfam family "Bacterial small subunit ribosomal RNA". Lineage: Eukaryota; Metazoa; Chordata; Amphibia; Anura; Hylidae. The record is from RNAcentral.